Molecule: ribosomal RNA, 465 nt
Filed under: uncultured bacterium
Lineage: Bacteria
Description: partial 16S ribosomal RNA
Rfam family: Bacterial small subunit ribosomal RNA
Source: RNAcentral
CCUACGUGAGGCUGCAGUGGGGAAUAUUGCGCAAUGGGCGAAAGCCUGACGCAGCGACACCGCGUGAGGGAUGAAGGUCUUCGGAUCGUAAAGCUCUGUCAGCAGGGAAGAACGGUCACUGUGCUAAUCAGCAGUGAAUUGACGGUACCUGCAAAGGAAGCACCGGCUAACUCCGUGCCAGCAGCCGCGGUAAUACGGAGGGUGCGAGCGUUAAUCGGAAUUACUGGGCGUAAAGCGCACGUCGGCGGUAUGGCAAGUCAAGGGUGAAAUCCCCGCGCUCAACGUGGGAACUGCCUUUGAAACUGGCAAACUUGAGUGUGUGAGAGGAUAGUAGAAUUCCAGGUGUAGGAGUGAAAUCCGUAGAUAUCUGGAGGAACAUCAGUGGCGAAGGCGACUAUCUGGCACAUAACUGACGCUGAGGAGCGAAAGCGUGGGGAGCAAACAGGAUUAGAUACCCGGGUAGUC